ACGUGUGCCCUUCCCAUAACUAGAUGGGUAAGAACUUGAGAGGAACAAAAUGAGAUAGGGGAAGAACUAGAAUGGAGGGCUAAAAGAGAGGACUAGAGGAAUGAGAUGGAAGAUGAGGAAGAGCCAGAUGGGGAAGAACAAGAUGAGGAAGAGCCAGAUGAGAGAGGAGAUGUGAGAGGAGCUGAUAGGGGAAAGAA
Non-coding RNA from Peromyscus maniculatus bairdii (prairie deer mouse), 197 nucleotides. The record is from RefSeq and is a predicted model, not a curated record. NCBI's taxonomy places the organism in Eukaryota, Metazoa, Chordata, Mammalia, Rodentia, Cricetidae.